Non-coding RNA from Jatropha curcas, 195 nucleotides. The record is from Rfam. Lineage: Eukaryota; Viridiplantae; Streptophyta; Magnoliopsida; Malpighiales; Euphorbiaceae.
AUACCUUUCUCGGCCUUUUGGCUAAGAUCAAGUGUAGUAUCUGUUCUUAUCAGUUUAAUAUCUGAUACGUGGAUCAAUGAUCCACAUGAUAUUAAAUUAAUUUUUUUAAGGGAGGGCCUAUUCUGGUAGCUUGCUACUGGGGUCCUCUAGCGUCGCUCAUGCGUUGCACUACUGCAAGAGCCUGGCGUACCCACC